GUUGCGUCGGAGCCCUUCCUUUGACGCAGAUGAAGAGUGCUGCACGCAGCAGGGCCGCGUGUCAGCAGGAGAAGCUGCCAAGCUCUCCCCGCCCAUCACACCCUGCCAGGGCCUGUCUGUAAGAUUGGUGUUUUGGAGGACCUCUGAGCAUUUCUGAAGAACUAAAGAAUUAUUCCUCACAGCAACCCAUAAGGUCUUUGGUUCAGAGGGUGCUGUGAGGCCUCCAGGUGCUCUGAAAGACCCCUCUGACUGAACCUGGAGCUGGAGGAAGGCAGGCUUUAGCGGAGAGGAGAUCCAGGGAGGGGGAGGCAGAACCAAAGCUGAGUUUCAAACUGGCAGAAAAAAUCGAGGGAGAUAAAAUGAUGCAGGAAUCUGAGUGAGACUGCAGCUAAAUCAAAGAGGUGAGAAUUAAUGAUCUACCCUGAGGUAUAAUGCACAUGGUAUAGUUUAGGUGGCCCAGCAGAAGCAGCAAAUCAAGCUUAGUGAGAGGUUUGGAAUCAGGAAAUCUGAAAAGGAGA
Molecule: long non-coding RNA, 518 nt
Filed under: Gallus gallus (chicken)
Lineage: Eukaryota; Metazoa; Chordata; Aves; Galliformes; Phasianidae
Description: long non-coding RNA NONGGAT006928
Source: RNAcentral